UUACAAUUUAAAUUUCUGUGUAAUUCUGCAUAUUCAAAAACAAUACAAAAUAUACCUUACGUUAAUUUUUUAAAAAAAGUAUAUUUAUUGAUCAAAAUUUGCAGACAUAAAUUUGCUACACAGAAUUAUUUUGGUUGUUUAUAAAUAUGGAUGAGAAGCAUGGAAAAACCUAUAGACAAGUAAAAAAUAUGAAUUAAGAUCUAUUCAGGCUCCUGAGUGGUACCUCAAGAUAGACUUCCCUAUGGAAAAUAUCGCUAUCAUAAAAAUGUGAUGAGCAAAAAACCAGAAAACCCGUGUCACUAAUUAUGAAGGGCUAGUAAAAUUUGUGAUGAGUCCUCAAGUUCAUAGACUCUUGGGUGUUCCCUCGCCCUCUUAAUCCAGUUAAAGAACCCCUUUUCAAUGUAUAAACAAAAUCAUGAAAUUCCUAAAAAAAUGUGAAGCAAAUGAAAGCCGGACGAUGAGUAUGUGCGUCUUUGGAAGGUGUUACAGGAAGGACACCAGGAGAGAUUCAGGGAUGGACGCGCUCGACCUGUUUUCGAUUGAAUUCUAAGACCAACACGUCGUAUUCAUUGUCUGGUUCUUGCAAGCUACCCUAAUUUAACACCACAGAAUAAUUAUAAAUGUAUUUAUCAAUAUAUAAGCUUGUGUUUAUUAACUAAGAACAAUAUCUCUCCGUAA
Molecule: long non-coding RNA, 678 nt
Organism: Daktulosphaira vitifoliae (grape phylloxera)
Lineage: Eukaryota; Metazoa; Arthropoda; Insecta; Hemiptera; Phylloxeridae
Exons: 3
Source: RefSeq, a predicted model, not a curated record